RNAcentral lists this ribosomal RNA (631 nucleotides) under uncultured bacterium. Its description in RNAcentral is "bacterial SSU rRNA". It matches the Rfam family "Bacterial small subunit ribosomal RNA", at positions 202 to 834 of the family's 1533-position model. The record is from RNAcentral.
UAAAGAAUUUCGGUCAUCGAUGGGGAUGCGUUCCAUUAGCUUGUUGGCGGGGUAACGGCCCACCAAGGCAUCGAUGGAUAGGGGUUCUGAGAGGAAGGUCCCCCACAUUGGAACUGAGACACGGUCCAAACUCCUACGGGAGGCAGCAGUGAGGAAUAUUGGUCAAUGGGCGCUAGCCUGAACCAGCCAAGUAGCGUGAAGGAUGACUGCCCUAUGGGUUGUAAACUUCUUUUAUAUGGGAAUAAAGUGCAGUAUGUAUACUGCUUUGCAUGUACCUUAUGAAUAAGGAUCGGCUAACUCCGUGCCAGCAGCCGCGGUAAUACGGAGGAUCCGAGCGUUAUCCGGAUUUAUUGGGUUUAAAGGGAGCGUAGGCGGGUUGUUAAGUCAGUUGUGAAAGUUUGCGGCUCAACCGUAAAAUUGCAGUUGAUACUGGCAUCCUUGAGUACAGUAGAGGUAGGCGGAAUUCGUGGUGUAGCGGUGAAAUGCUUAGAUAUCACGAAGAACUCCGAUUGCGAAGGCAGCCUGCUGGACUGUAACUGACGCUGAUGCUCGAAAGUGUGGGUAUCAAACAGGAUUAGAUACCCUGGUAGUCCACACAGUAAACGAUGAAUACUCGCUGUUUGCGAUAUAC